Molecule: small nucleolar RNA, 107 nt
Filed under: Gossypium barbadense (sea-island cotton)
Lineage: Eukaryota; Viridiplantae; Streptophyta; Magnoliopsida; Malvales; Malvaceae
Also listed under: 1 other name
Description: Plant small nucleolar RNA R71
Rfam family: Plant small nucleolar RNA R71
About the family: R71 is a member of the C/D box family of snoRNAs containing the C (UGAUGA) and D (CUGA) box motifs. Multiple nearly identical copies of this snoRNA have been identified in Arabidopsis, and it is thought to function as a 2'-O-ribose methylation guide for 18S ribosomal RNA.
Source: Rfam by way of RNAcentral
AACCUAUGGUGAGGGCACCUUCUCAAUAAGUCCUUAUGCCUCUCUCAUGCAUCAUAUGGAGUCUCUAAGUCGAUUUGAACAAAGGAAAAGAUAUCAUUACUCAGUCU